AUUGUAUGAUCUUUUCUACUAAGUUGACACAUGUACAGGGCAUGAAAAUGGUAGGCCCCGCCAUGAGGAUUAUGAUUCUAGAAAAUCAGGUUGAUAUGCUGACUAGGUUAGCAUAUAUACAUGAUUGUCUACAAAUUACUGGGUUUCAAGCACUCUCUCUCUAUAUAUAUAUAAUUUAGAAGGUCUGCAUGUAUUUAUGACAAAGCUAUGAUGAUGAUGAUUAUUAUUAUCUUUAGCUAAUGGCUACUCUGCUGAGUUCUUAAAUACAGGAUUCAGUGCGCGUGCUUGACUGUAACAACUGUAUUUUACUUCAUUUGCUAUCACAUUGAUGGCUCUAUCAUAUCUGAUGAUACAAGAAAGUGAAUCCUAUUGGCAUUCUGAAUCCUAAGUGGCAGCAUGAAAUCUUCUAGUAAACCUCAAAAAUUCAUAAAACAGAUCUAUGGGUCUUAAAUUUUCUGUUGUUCUGCCAUUGUACGUGGUAAACCAUCUUCUUUCUACUUUUCUGUUUGCUAUUUUACCUUUUUAUUAUGGAAUUUUACUAAAUUAAAAUAUCUUUCUAGCCACGCAAAAUCUAAAAUUCAGUUCCGAUUUUACUUGGGUUUCCCCCUAGUUAAUGGAAGUUGCUGACAUCAUAAGACUAUAUUCAUAAGAGGAUUGCAAGUAUGAGCAUUAUGCAAAGACAUUGAUGGCUAAGUUGUUGAUUGUGGCUGAAAAAAUCCAACAGGUAGUUGGAAUCACGGGCUUGAUUCUGACAAAGCUUGAUGGUUCUGCUCGAGGUGGCUGUGUUGUGAGUGUGGUGGAUGAACUUGGCAUUCCUGUAAAGUUUGUGGGCGUUGGGGAAAGGGUGGAUGACCUUCAGCCAUUUGAUGCAGAGGUCUUUGUUGAUGCCAUUUUCUCCUGAAAAUUGAAGAGGGUGCCUUAGAUGGUGGACUUGACAUUCCUCAUAGUGACAAGAGGUUUGUUGGUUUCAAAAAGGAGGACAAACAACUUGAUCCUGAGGUUCACCGAAAGUAUAUAUUCAGUGGUCAUGUUGCUUCUUUCAUGAGGAUGAAGGAAUGGGUAUUGUAUGUUGGAACAAAAGGUUGCUGAUAACAGAAUGUUCACAUGAACUCUUGAAACAAGCAGGAAGCAGCUGCAUGCAAUUCUAUUCAAGUGAGGAGCCUUGAGCCUAGGGGCUUUUUUAGUGGGGUACACUGGACUUAGAUUGAAAAAAUAGAGAAAAAAACCUUUUAAAUCACAUUUAAGAUGGCCCUCAUUAGCUGAGAUUCUUUGACAUUAACAGAGCUUGUGUAGGAGAACUACAUCUCACAUGGAGAAACAGGUACUAAAAGGUAGACUGAACAAGUAAUGACUUUUGCUGUCACCUUUUCCAAUUUGGCAGCUACCUUAACUGUUGGCAUCUACCAGAAAAUCAUUGUUUACUUUUUGUCAUAGCUAGACUAGAAGAAAAGCUCUUGGACAUGGUAUGAACCGCGUCUCUCUUUCUUUCUUUUUCUUUUUUAUAUGCUUUUAUAUGACAGGAGAUAUCUGUAUUUGGCAGAUAAUAUGCUAUGCCAAUUUGUUGAUCCCAUGUUCUGCACCCAUAUGGAUUAAAUCAACUAUUUGACAUUGAAAUAGACAAGGUAUAUACUCCCGUAUGGAUGCUUUUUCCAUGCUUUCUAGAUCAUACUGUCUACACUAGAAUCUUGCACAGAAGGAAGGGAAAAAAAAACUUUUUUCUCGAUUGCGAGACCUGUCUCUUACUUUAGAGGUGUUAUAUGAUGCUUGAUUGGGAGAAACAAUAUGGAUUUGUUC
Molecule: long non-coding RNA, 1794 nt
Organism: Magnolia sinica
Lineage: Eukaryota; Viridiplantae; Streptophyta; Magnoliopsida; Magnoliales; Magnoliaceae
Exons: 5
Source: RefSeq, a predicted model, not a curated record